GACGAACGCUGGCGGCGUGCUUAACACAUGCAAGUCGAACGGAAAGGCCCUGCUUGCAGGGUACUCGAGUGGCGAACGGGUGAGUAACACGUGGGUGAUCUGCCCUGCACUUCGGGAUAAGCUUGGGAAACUGGGUCUAAUACCGGAUAGGAGCCAUCUUUAGUGUGGUGGUUGGAAAGUUUUUUCGGUGUAGGAUGAGCUCGCGGCCUAUCAGCUUGUUGGUGGGGUAAUGGCCUACCAAGGCGGCGACGGGUAGCCGGCCUGAGAGGGUGUACGGCCACGAUAGGACGGAGAAACGGGCCAGGCUACUACCGGAGGCAGCAGUGGGGGAUAUUGAACAAUGGGCGCGAGGCUGAAGCAGAGGCCCCGCGUGAGGGAUGAAGGCCUUCGGGUUGUAAACUGCUGUCGCUAGGGAAGAAGCUUUUUUGUGACGGUACCUAGAUAAGAAGCACCGGCUAACUACGUG
This 466-nucleotide ribosomal RNA is filed under the name uncultured bacterium. RNAcentral describes it as "partial 16S ribosomal RNA". It matches the Rfam family "Bacterial small subunit ribosomal RNA", at positions 28 to 507 of the family's 1533-position model. The record is from RNAcentral.